This 1145-nucleotide long non-coding RNA is filed under the name Macaca fascicularis (crab-eating macaque). RNAcentral describes it as "lncRNA (ENSMFAG00000064740.1)". Lineage: Eukaryota; Metazoa; Chordata; Mammalia; Primates; Cercopithecidae. The record is from RNAcentral.
UCUCCCCUCUCCCUUUCUCACUUAGCAGCUCUCUCCUGGAUUCAUGAAUAGUUUUAAACCAGUUGGAGAUAUUUUAUGCGUAAACAUAGAACUCUCAAAGAUAUACGGUCUCUAGACACUAAACUGUCAUCACAACCACAUGUUAUAGUGUUUAUUUUCCCCUGCCUAGCCAACCCCAUCGAAACCACACCCUGCUCUGCCAAGCCACAGCCCCACCCUGCCUUUGGAAAUAGAAAUGGAAUAGGAGAAUCUCUGGCUUCUGGGGAAAAAAAAAAAGAUUUUUAAGUAACUAACAUGAUGUUUCUGGAGAAAUCAGGAUACAACUGACAGGACUGAUGAAAACUUUAUAAAGUUUCUUCACAUAAUAAAGCCCAUGGAGAUGAUAGGAGAUAGUGAUAUCAAAUUAUAGAUACUGUCAGAGACAAUUUUUAAAUGACUAUUUCUAGUCCAUACCUAACUAAAGUGCCUAUCCUUGUAAAUGUUUAACUUUUAGCCACUUAGUUUUUAAUAUUCCAGAAAUAUACAUUAAAAAUAAUAUAAUGAUGAUUAGAUAGCAAUGUUACACUUGAACUUACAUCAUCCCUUAUUUCAGAACCUGUGAAAAAUAGUCUUAGGAAAUAAAAAAGGAUAUUUCUUCCAUGGCUAGAAGAAUUGAAAUCAGUAUCAGUUGUAAGGACAUAAGGACAAAUUUUAAUUUGAUUUUAAAUGCAUACUUGCAAAUCAAGUUUGCAAAAUUUAAAACCACAUGAAGACUUAUAAUCACAGUAUUUAUGAGCUGGAAGAACAUUGAGACCUUCAUUUAACAGUGAAGUGAAACUCAGAAAGAUCAAAUGACCAGGCGAAGGUCACAUUAGUACUGGAGCUUAGAACUAAACCUCUGGUCUCCUGGUUGACGGUUCCAUGCUUUUCUCAUCACUUUCUGCGUUUAUGAGACCCUGUAAUUACCUGCAGCUUUCAGUCAUAUGUGCCAACCCAGUCAUGUGGUAGACUGGAAUAUAAAACGAUCAGUCCAUUAACUGAGACACUGCUUCAGGAAUCAUAGUAUUCAUUGUUAUGUCAUUGUUAUAGUCAUUGCUAAUAUUUGUUGAGUAUAUGUGUCAGGCAUUAUAUGUAUUACUUGCGUCAACCUAUUUAAUACCCACACU